Molecule: non-coding RNA, 646 nt
Organism: Trichuris trichiura (human whipworm)
Lineage: Eukaryota; Metazoa; Nematoda; Enoplea; Trichinellida; Trichuridae
Source: Rfam
CUAUCUCUUGAGUGGUCAAAGGAAUUGACGGGGGCCCGCACAAGCGGUGGAGCAUGUGGUUUAAUUCGAAGCAACGCGAAGAACCUUACCAGGUCUUGACAUCCUUUGACCACUCUAGAGAUAGAGCUUCCCCUUCGGGGGCAAAGUGACAGGUGGUGCAUGGUUGUCGUCAGCUCGUGUCGUGAGAUGUUGGGUUAAGUCCCGCAACGAGCGCAACCCUUAUUGUUAGUUGCCAUCAUUUAGUUGGGCACUCUAGCGAGACUGCCGGUGACAAACCGGAGGAAGGUGGGGAUGACGUCAAAUCAUCAUGCCCCUUAUGACCUGGGCUACACACGUGCUACAAUGGGAAGUACAACGAGUCGCGAAGUCGCGAGGCUAAGCUAAUCUCUUAAAGCUUCUCUCAGUUCGGAUUGUAGGCUGCAACUCGCCUACAUGAAGCCGGAAUCGCUAGUAAUCGCGGAUCAGCACGCCGCGGUGAAUACGUUCCCGGGCCUUGUACACACCGCCCGUCACACCACGAGAGUUUGUAACACCCGAAGUCGGUGAGGUAACCUUUUGGAGCCAGCCGCCUAAGGUGGGAUAGAUGAUUGGGGUGAAGUCGUAACAAGGUAGCCGUAUCGGAAGGUGCGGCUGGAUCACCUCCUUU